Molecule: long non-coding RNA, 373 nt
Organism: Amblyraja radiata (thorny skate)
Lineage: Eukaryota; Metazoa; Chordata; Chondrichthyes; Rajiformes; Rajidae
Exons: 2
Source: RefSeq, a predicted model, not a curated record
UGGAGAGGAGCAGAGAAAGUGGUAGAGAGAUCACGGGGGGGGGGGGGGGGCGGUAGAGGUGAUCGAGAGAGACAGGGAUGUGGUGACGCAAACAGAGGAGGAGAGAGGCAACAUGAAGUGGGGCAAUGGAAGGGGCAACAGAGAGUGGGGCAAUGGGAUAUGUGACAGAGAAUGGGACAAUGGGAGAGGUGACACAGUGAGGCAAUGGGAGAGGUGACCGAAGGAGUCAAAAGAGGGAAACAGAAGAUGAAAUGCAGACCCGAACUACACAUUUCUUCCAGAACCAAGUAAUCUCUUCCCCUGCUUUACUUUGUAGUUGUGCAGUAAUCAAAUAAUAAAUGAUUCAUAAAAUGAAAUAAAAUGCUUGACGCUC